Molecule: ribosomal RNA, 253 nt
Filed under: uncultured bacterium
Lineage: Bacteria
Description: partial 16S ribosomal RNA
Rfam family: Bacterial small subunit ribosomal RNA
Source: RNAcentral
UACGUAGGGGGCAAGCGUUGUCCGGAUUUAUUGGGCGUAAAGAGCGUGUAGGCGGCUAGAUAGGUCCGUUGUGAAAACUCGAGGCUCAACCUCGAGACGUCGAUGGAAACCAUCUGGCUAGAGUCCGGAAGAGGAGAGUGGAAUUCCUGGUGUAGCGGUGAAAUGCGCAGAUAUCAGGAGGAACACCAAUUGCGAAGGCAGCUCGCUGGGACGUUACUGACGCUGAGACGCGAAAGCGUGGGGAGCAAACAGG